This 497-nucleotide ribosomal RNA is filed under the name uncultured bacterium. Its description in RNAcentral is "partial 16S ribosomal RNA". It matches the Rfam family "Bacterial small subunit ribosomal RNA", at positions 28 to 507 of the family's 1533-position model. The record is from RNAcentral.
GAUGAACGCUGGCGGCGUGCCUAAUACAUGCAAGUCGAGCGAACGGACGAGAAGCUUGCUUCUCUGAUGUUAGCGGCGGACGGGUGAGUAACACGUGGAUAACCUACCUAUAAGACUGGGAUAACUUCGGGAAACCGUAGCUAAUACCGGAUAAUAUUUUGAACCGCAUGGUUCAAAAGUGAAAGACGGUCUUGCUGUCACUUAUAGAUGGAUCCGCGCUGCAUUAGCUAGUUGGUAAGGUAACGGCUUACCAAGGCAACGAUGCGUAGCCGACCUGAGAGGGUGAUCGGCCACACUGGAACUGAGACACGGUCCAGACUCCUACGGGAGGCAGCAGUAGGGAAUCUUCCGCAAUGGGCGAAAGCCUGACGGAGCAACGCCGCGUGAGUGAUGAAGGUCUUCGGAUCGUAAAGCUCUGUUAUUAGGGAAGAACAUAAGUGUAAGUAACUGUGCACAUCUUGACGGUACCUAAUCAGAAAGCCACGGCUAACUACGUG